GGAGGAUACACCUAGCAGGGCAUGGGUGAAGACAGUGGUUUGCUGAUUGUAUCCUAAAGAGAAUGUGCUUAUGUGCUUUGUCCCUUCCAGUCUGGCUGCCCUCUGAAGCCUCCCUGUCCUCCUUCCUCCCCAGUCACAACUAUUACCUGAAGCCAUUCUGCACUAGGCUCCCACUGCCUCCCUGGAGGCUGCAUUUGACUCCUCCCUGCUCCCAGGCCUCCCUUUCUUGGGAAACCUCUCUCUCUCUCCUACUUUUUUCAAAUUCCACUUGUUCCUGCAAAUAUUUUUUCCCUUAUGUAUCCUCUAUAAACAGUGUAAGUUCUUCUAUGGGCUUACAUUUUAUUUUUAGAAACAAAAGCCAGAAGGGGCAAAGGCUACUUUACUUUCUACACCUGAAGUAGUGGCUAUUGACAUGAAUAUGGAAAGGGCAAAGGACAAAUAAAAUGGUGAGGAAAAAAUAUAAAUUAUAUAUCAAAGCCAUAUGCUGUUCUGCUUUGAUUUCUAAUGGAACUUAGUCAAUCUUGAGCUGAUUGGGUUUUGCUGUUGGACACAGAACAUGAAUGUAACUUAAAUGAAUCACAGCAUAUUUUAUACAGCAUAUGCUUGCCUUCUUCCCUGUGCUUUAUGUGGGCUGUGUAAGAGGGGAAGCAGAGAACUCACCAUAUUUAUAAUUAAAUAAUUAGCCUAAUAGCUCUUACAUAUCUGCCUUCCAUGCUCAACUGGAAGCUCCAUGACUGCCGAAACUAUGUCUGUCUUUUCACUGUGGAUCUGAAUUUCUUCUCCACAGUGCCUCCUAAUCCUGGACAACAGAACAUUGCUGGACAACCAUGGCAAAGCUGAGCUCAGUGGGCUCACCAUGGAUUUACUCUGAUCUGCAUUACUUAGAUCAUUAAUGUCAAUCCCUUUUUUCCCAGUAGCUUUAUGUCUGUUCACAUCAUUUCAUUCUCAAUUGCACUAGCUCUGUGCUUUUACCCUUAGCUGUUAUCCUCACCCUCUAUCUAAACAAGAGCUCCUUUGAUUUCCUUCCUCCUCACUUUAAAAUUUUCUUUUGCCUUUGAUCGUUCUCUUAUUUUUCUCAUCCUGUCUCAGGAAUGCUCUUUCUUCCCAAGGCUAUGCCUUCCUCUCUGUAUGGAUCCUGUCCCCUCCUGGCUUUCCAGGACUACUGCAUGAAUUACCUUCUAUUUUCUUGCAUCUUCAGUGUCACCCUUUUCAUGAGCUCUGCAACAGUCCUAUUGCCCAAGCUCUAGAAAAUCCCCCUCUUAAAUUAUUGUAUUUCUAGCCUUUCAUUUACUAUCUCAUUUCUCAAAAGUGCAAUAAACAUGUAAUUUCCCUUUUUCUACUCUUUUGGUUUGAGGCAUAUUAUCCUUCUAUUUCUCACACCUAAGGCCUCAAAUUCCACCUGUAAGGGGGUGAGCUUGCACUUAGGUUCUAGGCUAAAUCUAGUCACAAGAAAGCAACUAGUGCAGUUAGAUUCACAGUUUAGAGUGUCUGUGGAAAUGCUUCACCUUGGGAUGGGAUUCUGCCUGCAUUACUGUUACUUAAGCAUACUGAUGCCACCUGGAUAUUCACCUGCUUCAGCUUCUGCCUGUUGACCCCUUGCACACUACUUUCUCCCCCUCUCAUGUUUGGAAGAAUCAACCUCAAAAUGUUAACUUCAUUAUUGAUAAAGCCAACUGGGGAACAUGUCUUUAGAUGUUUGGUCAAAAGCCUUGCUGAGUUGAAUUUUCUCCUACAACAGCAGCCCAGAAUGCACUCUCUCUGCACUUGGUUUGCAGGCUGGCUUAUGGAGAGUCAGGGGUUAAGUGUUCUUCCAACUUUGCAAAAGAUAAAUCAGUCAUCUACUAGGAAAAGAGGAAAAUCAGAGAUAAGCUGAAAGCAUUCCUCUCAUAAUUUUCCAUUCCUGGGGAGUAGAUUUGACAUUUUCUUCCCUUAAUGGAAACAUGAGUCAUGAGGAAUAAAUGCUCCCUGCUAUCAGUCCUCUCUCUCCCUUCUAGGGCUUCUCCUGGUUCCUGUUCGGCCCCCAGAAAGCUUGUCUAAUCUUGGCUAGCCUGAUCCAGCCUCCACCAGCCCCGAUGCUGCUGGUAUACACUUGCUCCUUAACCACACAUACUGUGGUUUCUGCUUUAACAAUCAGCCAUAGGAUUUUAAUUACCCAAUCUAGCCACACGUUCUCAGUCCUUUUCUUCUCUAACUUCUCAGCUCAAAAAUUUUGAAUACAUCCCAUUUGAUUGUGGACAAAGAGGCAAUGAUCAUGGGGUAAUGCACUAUGUUUUUGUACACUAAGUUUCUUUUGUAAAUACCAUUGUUUCUGGCCAGGCGUGGUGGCUCACACCUGUAAUC
This 2340-nucleotide long non-coding RNA is filed under the name Homo sapiens (human). Its description in RNAcentral is "HSALNT0200753". The record is from RNAcentral. Lineage: Eukaryota; Metazoa; Chordata; Mammalia; Primates; Hominidae.